GACGAACGCUGGCGGCGUGCUUAACACAUGCAAGUCGAACGGAAAGGCCCUGCUUUUGUGGGGUGCUCGAGUGGCGAACGGGUGAGUAACACGCGAGUAACCUGCCCUUGACUUUGGGAUAACUUCAGGAAACUGGGGCUAAUACCGGAUAGGAGCUCCUGCUGCAUGGUGGGGGUUGGAAAGUUUCGACGGUUGGGGAUGGACUCGCGGCUUAUCAGCUUGUUGGUGGGGUAGUGGCUUACCAAGGCUUUGACGGGUAGCCGGCCUGAGAGGGUGACCGGCCACAUUGGGACUGAGAUACGGCCCAGACUCCUACGGGAGGCAGCAGUGGGGAAUAUUGCACAAUGGGCGGAAGCCUGAUGCAGCAACGCCGCGUGCGGGAUGACGGCCUUCGGGUUGUAAACCGCUUUCGCCUGUGACGAAGCGUGAGUGACGGUAAUGGGUAAAGAAGCACCGGCUAACUACGUGCCAGCAGCCGCGGUGAUACGUAGGGUGCGAGCGUUGUCCGGAUUUAUUGGGCGUAAAGGGCUCGUAGGUGGUUGAUCGCGUCGGAAGUGUAAUCUUGGGGCUUAACCCUGAGCGUGCUUUCGAUACGGGUUGACUUGAGGAAGGUAGGGGAGAAUGGAAUUCCUGGUGGAGCGGUGGAAUGCGCAGAUAUCAGGAGGAACACCAGUGGCGAAGGCGGUUCUCUGGGCCUUUCCUGACGCUGAGGAGCGAAGGCGUGGGGAGCGAACAGGCUUAGAUACCCUGGUAGUCCACGCUGUAAACGGUGGGUACUAGGUGUGGGGUCCAUUCCACGGGUUCCGUGCCGUAGCUAACGCUUUAAGUACCCCGCCUGGGGAGUACGGCCGCAAGGCUAAAACUCAAAGGAAUUGACGGGGCCCCGCACAAGCGGCGGAGCAUGCGGAUUAAUUCGAUGCAACGCGUAGAACCUUACCUGGGUUUGACAUGGGUCGGGAGUGCUCAGAGAUGGGUGUGCCUCUUUUGGGGUCGGUUCACAGGUGGUGCAUGGCUGUCGUCAGCUCGUGUCGUGAGAUGUUGGGUUAAGUCCCGCAACGAGCGCAACCCUUGUUCACUGUUGCCAGCACGUUAUGGUGGGGACUCAGUGGAGACCGCCGGGGUCAACUCGGAGGAAGGUGGGGAUGACGUCAAGUCAUCAUGCCCCUUAUGUCCAGGGCUUCACGCAUGCUACAAUGGCUGGUACAGAGAGUGGCGAGCCUGUGAGGGUGAGCGAAUCUCGGAAAGCCGGUCUCAGUUCGGAUUGGGGUCUGCAACUCGACCUCAUGAAGUCGGAGUCGCUAGUAAUCGCAGAUCAGCAACGCUGCGGUGAAUACGUUCCCGGG
Molecule: ribosomal RNA, 1343 nt
Filed under: uncultured bacterium
Lineage: Bacteria
Description: 16S ribosomal RNA
Rfam family: Bacterial small subunit ribosomal RNA
Source: RNAcentral